CAGAUGGAAGCCCGCUGGAUUGGGCGUUUAGUUGUUAACUGAAUUUUUGUGGGGUCGAGGCCCACCCAUUUG
This 72-nucleotide transfer RNA is filed under the name Enyalioides praestabilis. RNAcentral's name for it is "tRNA-Asn". Lineage: Eukaryota; Metazoa; Chordata; Lepidosauria; Squamata; Hoplocercidae. The record is from RNAcentral.